RNAcentral lists this ribosomal RNA (106 nucleotides) under uncultured bacterium. RNAcentral describes it as "partial 16S ribosomal RNA". It matches the Rfam family "Bacterial small subunit ribosomal RNA", at positions 1367 to 1482 of the family's 1533-position model. The record is from RNAcentral.
UACGUUCCGGACCUUGUACACACCGCCCGUCAAGCCAUGGAAGUUGGGAGGACCUGAAGACAGUUGCUGUAAGGCGCUGUUUAGGGUUAAACCGAUGACUGGGGCU